GGGCGUGGCUUCCAGCGCACGCGAGAAGGGGGCCGGCACCGCCUGCGUGCACACAAUCGGCGGCCGCGCGCAGCACUCUCGGUGACCGGAUGGCGGCUGUGGCGGCUGGAAACGGGGCUUUCCGGGAGGAGGAGGGCACCGGUGGGGACGCAGCGGCUCCGCAGCCCCAUGCCCCGACAAGUGCGCCCGGGGCUCGUCUCUCGAGGCUGCCUCUGGCGCGAGUGAAGGCCUUGGUGAAGGCGGACCCCGACGUGACGCUAGCAGGACAGGAAGCCAUCUUCAUUCUGGCACGAGCCGCGGAACUGUUUGUGGAAACCAUUGCAAAAGAUGCCUACUGUUGUGCUCAACAGGGGAAGAGGAAAACCCUUCAGAGGAGAGAUUUGGAUAAUGCAAUAGAAGCUGUGGAUGAAUUUGCUUUCCUGGAAGAUACAUCAGAAAUACAUCUACACAUGGAACUGCUCCUAUAGAACACCGACUGAACGCUGGCAGAAGACCUCAGACCUUCCAAAAGGCAAGAAACUCCCCACGUACCUGGGAGUGGCUGGAAACUAUAGGACCUGCCAGCAAUUUCAUCUGGAGUGCAGAAAAAGAAAAAGUACACAAGAUGAGAAAACCGAGGCUCAGAAGAUGAGUGGAGUGACUGUCCCAAAGUACAUAGUUGAUGAAUGAUGACCCUACUGUGGAUUAAUUUGGGAGUAAGCUCUUGACCCUGUUGAACAAAUCAUCACCAUAAAUUCUGGAACUGUACCUGAGAAAUAAAUGCCACGUUCUCCUCUGUAAUUGAAGCCAUCAAAUGGAGACCAGAAUUCCAGUUGCAAUCAAGUGAGGUGGUGGAGCGUUUUCCUGUUUGUGUAAGUAGAUGCCAGCACUUAUAUAAGUACUAUGUUUCUUCCCAGAACUUAGCUGGAAAGCAUCCCUACCCCCCGCCCCCAGGAUGUUUGGCACAUGGCCCAAACCAGCUGACAUUUCAAUUGUCCUUCCCCUCUAUUGCUGUGAUCUCAAAUGUUCAUGGAACUGACAUUUCUCCAAACCCUUAAUGGGAACAGUUCAGUGACAAGUGUCAAUAACAUAAUGGGCUUAACCCCACAUUUAUUCCUUCUUUCAUCCAUCCCUACAAAAUGUAUUCAUUAAGCAUCUAUGAAACACCAGGCACUUUGCUAGGGGUAAGGUUCA
RNA transcript from Physeter macrocephalus (sperm whale), 1173 nucleotides. It is a transcript of the gene named DNA polymerase epsilon 4, accessory subunit, with no coding region annotated. Lineage: Eukaryota; Metazoa; Chordata; Mammalia; Artiodactyla; Physeteridae. The record is from RefSeq and is a predicted model, not a curated record. The transcript has 7 exons.